GAUGAACGCUAGCGGCAGGCUUAACACAUGCAAGUCGAGGGGUAACGUGAGUGCUUGCACUUGACGACGACCGGCGAACGGGUGCGUAACGCGUAUAGAAUCUACCUUGUACAGGAGGAUAGCCCAGAGAAAUUUGGAUUAAUACUCCAUAAUGUUAUGUAGUGGCAUCAUUAUAUAAUUAAAGGUUUAUUGGUACAAGAUGACUAUGCGUCCUAUUAGUUAGAUGGUAAGGUAACGGCUUACCAUGGCAUCGAUAGGUAGGGGGUCUGAGAGGAUUAUCCCCCACACUGGUACUGAGACACGGACCAGACUCCUACGGGAGGCAGCAGUGAGGAAUAUUGGACAAUGGGCGAGAGCCUGAUCCAGCCAUGCCGCGUGCAGGAAGACUGCCCUAUGGGUUGUAAACUGCUUUUAUACAGGAAGAAACCUACUUACGUGUAAGUAGCUGACGGUACUGUAAGAAUAAGCACCGGCUAACUCCGUGCCAGCAGCCGCGGUAAUACGGAGGGUGCAAGCGUUAUCCGGAAUCAUUGGGUUUAAAGGGUCCGCAGGCGGUCAAUUAAGUCAGAGGUGAAAUCUCACAGCUUAACUGUGAAACUGCCUUUGAUACUGGUUGACUUGAGUCAUAUGGAAGUAGAUAGAAUAAGUAGUGUAGCGGUGAAAUGCAUAGAUAUUACUUAGAAUACCGAUUGCGAAGGCAGUCUACUACGUAUGUACUGACGCUCAUGGACGAAAGCGUGGGGAGCGAACAGG
RNAcentral lists this ribosomal RNA (753 nucleotides) under uncultured bacterium. RNAcentral's name for it is "bacterial SSU rRNA". It matches the Rfam family "Bacterial small subunit ribosomal RNA", at positions 28 to 776 of the family's 1533-position model. The record is from RNAcentral.